UUCCCCUAGUAACGGCGAGUGAACAGGGAUCAGCCCAGCACCGAAGCCUGUGGUCAUUUGGCCAUUAGGCAAUGUGGUGUUUAGGUCGUUCCGCAGGGACACUGCUCCUCUCUAAGUCCAUCAAUGAGUACGGUUGUACUGACAUGGCCCAUGGAGGGUGAAAGGCCCGUGAGAGAGGAGUUUUGUUGUGACAGUGUCCCUCUGGAUUGACCUUGGAGUCGGGUUGUUUGGGAAUGCAGCCCUAAGCGGGUGGUAAACUCCAUCCAAGGCUAAAUACAAGCACGAGUCCGAUAGCGAACAAGUACCGUGAGGGAAAGUUGAAAAGUACUUUGAAGAGAGAGUAAACAGUGCGUGAAACCGCUUAGAGGUAAACGGGUGGAGUUGAACUGCAAUCUCUGAGAAUUCAGCUGGGGAAAUUUGCUUGAGCUUGGUCAUUUGGGCAGGGCCUCGAGGUAUGCUUAGCUGCAUGUCCUGAUCUCACGGUCGGGAUGCGCGUUGCUCUUAUCAAGGGUUGCGCGCCUCGGGUGUCCGGCUGGCUCGUUCGCCAGUGCACUUUCUCAGAGUGAUCAUCACGACCGGCGCUGCUGCUGGGCUGUUUUAGUUAAAUCGGACAUUCAUCGUCCUUGUGGCGUUGGGUGGUCGACACGGCAGGUAACUGAGUGCUCGCUUCGGCUUGCUUUCCGGUGUAUGCUGGCUCUAACGGUUCUGUGCGGUGUGUCGGAGACGGCGGCUUGUGGUGUGUGCAUGUGUGCCUAUCUGGUGGCAUAUUCUGGUUUGGUAGCUGUGUGCUUGUUCAAGCAGGCCCAGUUAUAGCUGGAGUGUGUCAUUGGGUGGUUGCGUGUGUGUCACUUUUCAGGGCCAACAGUCUGUGAUGUCGUGGUAGACUAUCCACCUGACCCGUCUUGAAACACGGACCAAGGAGAGUAACAUGUACGCGAGUCAUUGGGCGUAACGAAACCCACAGGCGCAGUGAAAGUAAAGGUCUGGCUUGUCCAGUCUAAGGUGAGAUCCUGUCGUUGCUCAUGCGCGGUACCCCCAAGCUUGGAGCGAUAGGCGCAUCACCGGCCCGUCCCAUGACGUGGUCACAGUCCUCGGAUUGUGCGCCGUCGGGGCGGGGCAUGAGCGUACAUGUUGAGACCCGAAAGAUGGUGAACUAUGCUUGCGCAGGUUGAAGCCAGAGGAAACUCUGGUGGAGGACCGCA
This 1202-nucleotide ribosomal RNA is filed under the name Crepidostomum sp. 1 VS-2018. RNAcentral's name for it is "LSU rRNA". It matches the Rfam family "Eukaryotic large subunit ribosomal RNA", at positions 75 to 879 of the family's 3401-position model. Lineage: Eukaryota; Metazoa; Platyhelminthes; Trematoda; Plagiorchiida; Allocreadiidae. The record is from RNAcentral.